Molecule: ribosomal RNA, 440 nt
Filed under: uncultured bacterium
Lineage: Bacteria
Description: partial 16S ribosomal RNA
Rfam family: Bacterial small subunit ribosomal RNA
Source: RNAcentral
CCUACGGGAGGCUGCAGUGGGGAAUAUUGCACAAUGGGGGAAACCCUGAUGCAGCGACGCCGCGUGAGUGAAGAAGUAAUUCGUUAUGUAAAGCUCUAUCAGCAGGGAAGAAAAUGACGGUACCUGAGUAAGAAGCCCCGGCUAACUACGUGCCAGCAGCCGCGGUAAUACGUAGGGGGCAAGCGUUAUCCGGAUUUACUGGGUGUAAAGGGGGCGUAGACGGAAGUGCAAGUCUGGAGUGAAAGGCGGGGGCUCCACCCUCGGACUGCUCUUGAAACUGUACGGCUUGAGUGCAGGAGAGGUAAGUGGAGUUCCUAGUGUAGCGGUGAAAUGCGUAGAUAUUAGGAGGAACACCAGUGGCGAAGGCGGCUUACUGGACUGUAACUGACGUUGAGGCUCGAAAGCGUGGGGAGCAAACAGGAUUAGAUACCCGAGUAGUC